GAAAGAAAGAUAUAAUAAUCAGGGACUCCUACUGCUCAUGGAAAAGGAUCAGGGUCCAUCUCUCAGAUAGGCCAGUUAGACCAGAAGAGGUGCUGGUUGAGGGUGGAGGUAAUCUGGAAUGGGCAGUAGAGAAGGAAGAUGAUGAGUAUUGAUUGUGACCUUGACACCAGCUGUGGUAUUGGUGGGGGCAAGGAUGUGGUUCAUCCCACUGUCUUUACAAGUUUCCUUAGGAAAAGAGACCAAUAAGAACACUGAAGGAGCUCUUCCAAGAUGGAGUGAACUUAUUCUAUGAAACAAGUGGACUCAAAAUGUGCUAGGAGUGCACUGUAGUGGGUGCUGUGGUGAGUUGCCCAGAUUCUCUUUUCAGGAUGGAGGCCCUCAUUUACCCAGCUGCUGGGAGUGUUGGCAGUUGACGGUUCUCAGCUGAGUCAUUCUCUGGAAAUUUCUUUCAGCUAAAGAGAACCACCUUGCCCAACCAAGGUCACACCUUGGGGGCAGUCACAUCCAAUGACUGCUUGAUGAGAGGGCCCACCCUGAAGGUAAUUCCAGCUCCAGAGGUCCCUGUAAGGCUCAGCUGAGGCUUCUGUCGAAUUGCAUUGCAGAUCGACUCAAUCCUACUUCUGUUCCCUCUAAGAUCUCCCCUUAAUAAACCUCUUAUAUGCAGAUUUCAGAAUCUCAGGGCCUGUUUCCUGAGGAACCUGACCUACAACACAAGGUCUGCAUGCAGAUGGAGUUUGUGGUUCAGCAUUUCUUACAACAUCGCAGUUCUUUGUAUGGAAAUACGCUUUCAUUUAUUUUGGGAAAACACCUUGGAGUAGGAUUGCUGAGUUGUAUGGAAAAUGUAUGCCCAACUUCCGAAGGAGAUGCCACACUGUCUUCCAAAGAGAAUAUACUAUUUGCUUUCCCAUCAGCAAUGUCUAAGGGUUCCAGUUGCUCUACAUCCUCCCCAGGACUUGGUAUUGUAGAUGUUGAAUAUUCCAGAACCAUUUGUUGAAGAGACUAUCUUUUUCCUAUUGAAUUAUUUUGGCACCUUGUUAAAAAGCAAUAG
This is a long non-coding RNA of Pongo pygmaeus (Bornean orangutan), 1048 nucleotides long. RefSeq lists it as uncharacterized. NCBI's taxonomy places the organism in Eukaryota, Metazoa, Chordata, Mammalia, Primates, Hominidae. The record is from RefSeq and is a predicted model, not a curated record. The transcript is spliced from 3 exons.